UUCCAAUCAGAUGUCUACACCUUUUCCACCGUUUAAGAGUUCCUCGCUUUUAAACCCUUUCCACCGUUUAGGAGUUCCUCGCUUUUAAACCUUCUUUCAAUCGGUUUCUAUCGGGUGGUAGACCAUUCCACCGUCUCUCUCACAAUAGUCGCAACUUAUGGGCUUAUGCUUCUAGAUCGAGGCCUUCGAUUACCUUCUAAUCGACCGAUGAGAUCGACACAUACUACUCCUUCCAUGGCGGUUUAGGUAGA
Molecule: long non-coding RNA, 251 nt
Filed under: Lactuca sativa (garden lettuce)
Lineage: Eukaryota; Viridiplantae; Streptophyta; Magnoliopsida; Asterales; Asteraceae
Description: long non-coding RNA (LSAT_LNC002734)
Source: RNAcentral